Molecule: long non-coding RNA, 149 nt
Organism: Sinocyclocheilus grahami
Lineage: Eukaryota; Metazoa; Chordata; Actinopteri; Cypriniformes; Cyprinidae
Exons: 2
Source: RefSeq, a predicted model, not a curated record
CUCUCUUCCGUCUGUCUCGCGCAUGUGUAGUCCUCUUUACGACUCGGCUGGCGAAGAUGGCGGACACACAGAACGAGAGGGCUUAUCAGAAACAGCCCACCAUCUUCCAGAACAAGAAGCGGGUUCUGGCUGUUGAAGGAAGUGGCAAA